Non-coding RNA from Pelobates cultripes (western spadefoot toad), 396 nucleotides. Lineage: Eukaryota; Metazoa; Chordata; Amphibia; Anura; Pelobatidae. The record is from the annotation of a GenBank genome assembly.
AUUAUUGAUACGGCUCAGUCAGUCAAGGGAAAUCUGUCUACAUAAUGACACCCAUUCCUAGGAGUCUAUUCAGAGCACAGCACUAAGCGCAUACAAGCAGGGGAGAUCUGUCAACGUACUGAGUUGAGAUGUGCAUUUUGUAAGGCGUACUCAGUCUGAUGUCUGCAGUUUUUAGCUCUCUGAAUAGGUGGUUAAUAUAUACAUACAUUAUAUAACGCGGUAUCCCAUCAGGCAAUACAUAGAUUAUAUAACGCGUUAUCCCAUCGGGCAAUACAUACAUUACAUAACGUGGUAUCCCAUCCCGUAAUACAUAGAUUAUAUAACGCGGUAUCCCAUCAGGCUAUACAUACAUUAUAUAACGUGGUAUCCCAUCCCGUAAUACAUAGAUUAUAUAAC